RNAcentral lists this ribosomal RNA (396 nucleotides) under uncultured bacterium. RNAcentral describes it as "bacterial SSU rRNA". It matches the Rfam family "Bacterial small subunit ribosomal RNA", at positions 359 to 772 of the family's 1533-position model. The record is from RNAcentral.
GAAUAUUGGAUAAUGGGGGCAACCCUGAUCCAGCCAUGCCGCGUGGGUGAUGAAGGCCUUAGGGUUGUAAAGCCCUUUCGGCGGGGAAGAUAAUGACGGUACCCGCAGAAGAAGCCCCGGCUAACUUCGUUCCAGCAGCCGCGGUAAUACGAAGGGGGCUAGCGUUGCUCGGAAUCACUGGGCGUAAAGCGCACGUAGGCGGAUUGUUAAGUCAGGGGUGAAAUCCUGGAGCUCAACUCCAGAACUGCCUUUGAUACUGGCGAUCUUGAGUUCGGGAGAGGUGAGUGGAACUGCGAGUGUAGAGGUGAAAUUCGUAGAUAUUCGCAAGAACACCAGUGGCGAAGGCGGCUCACUGGCCCGAUACUGACGCUGAGGUGCGAAAGCGUGGGGAGCAAA